RNAcentral lists this ribosomal RNA (1540 nucleotides) under Staphylococcus aureus subsp. aureus CIG1176. RNAcentral describes it as "16S ribosomal RNA". It matches the Rfam family "Bacterial small subunit ribosomal RNA". Lineage: Bacteria; Bacillati; Bacillota; Bacilli; Caryophanales; Staphylococcaceae. The record is from RNAcentral.
AGAGUUUGAUCCUGGCUCAGGAUGAACGCUGGCGGCGUGCCUAAUACAUGCAAGUCGAGCGAACGGACGAGAAGCUUGCUUCUCUGAUGUUAGCGGCGGACGGGUGAGUAACACGUGGAUAACCUACCUAUAAGACUGGGAUAACUUCGGGAAACCGGAGCUAAUACCGGAUAAUAUUUUGAACCGCAUGGUUCAAAAGUGAAAGACGGUCUUGCUGUCACUUAUAGAUGGAUCCGCGCUGCAUUAGCUAGUUGGUAAGGUAACGGCUUACCAAGGCAACGAUGCAUAGCCGACCUGAGAGGGUGAUCGGCCACACUGGAACUGAGACACGGUCCAGACUCCUACGGGAGGCAGCAGUAGGGAAUCUUCCGCAAUGGGCGAAAGCCUGACGGAGCAACGCCGCGUGAGUGAUGAAGGUCUUCGGAUCGUAAAACUCUGUUAUUAGGGAAGAACAUAUGUGUAAGUAACUGUGCACAUCUUGACGGUACCUAAUCAGAAAGCCACGGCUAACUACGUGCCAGCAGCCGCGGUAAUACGUAGGUGGCAAGCGUUAUCCGGAAUUAUUGGGCGUAAAGCGCGCGUAGGCGGUUUUUUAAGUCUGAUGUGAAAGCCCACGGCUCAACCGUGGAGGGUCAUUGGAAACUGGAAAACUUGAGUGCAGAAGAGGAAAGUGGGAUUCCAUGUGUAGCGGUGAAAUGCGCAGAGAUAUGGAGGAACACCAGUGGCGAAGGCGACUUUCUGGUCUGUAACUGACGCUGAUGUGCGAAAGCGUGGGGAUCAAACAGGAUUAGAUACCCUGGUAGUCCACGCCGUAAACGAUGAGUGCUAAGUGUUAGGGGGUUUCCGCCCCUUAGUGCUGCAGCUAACGCAUUAAGCACUCCGCCUGGGGAGUACGACCGCAAGGUUGAAACUCAAAGGAAUUGACGGGGACCCGCACAAGCGGUGGAGCAUGUGGUUUAAUUCGAAGCAACGCGAAGAACCUUACCAAAUCUUGACAUCCUUUGACAACUCUAGAGAUAGAGCCUUCCCCUUCGGGGGACAAAGUGACAGGUGGUGCAUGGUUGUCGUCAGCUCGUGUCGUGAGAUGUUGGGUUAAGUCCCGCAACGAGCGCAACCCUUAAGCUUAGUUGCCAUCAUUAAGUUGGGCACUCUAAGUUGACUGCCGGUGACAAACCGGAGGAAGGUGGGGAUGACGUCAAAUCAUCAUGCCCCUUAUGAUUUGGGCUACACACGUGCUACAAUGGACAAUACAAAGGGCAGCGAAACCGCGAGGUCAAGCAAAUCCCAUAAAGUUGUUCUCAGUUCGGAUUGUAGUCUGCAACUCGACUACAUGAAGCUGGAAUCGCUAGUAAUCGUAGAUCAGCAUGCUACGGUGAAUACGUUCCCGGGUCUUGUACACGCCGCCCGUCACACCACGAGAGUUUGUAACACCCGAAGCCGGUGGAGUAACCUUUUAGGAGCUAGCCGUCGAAGGUGGGACAAAUGAUUGGGGUGAAGUCGUAACAAGGUAGCCGUAUCGGAAGGUGCGGCUGGAUCACCU